UUGUAAAAUUCUUCUAUAUGAUAUUUUAGAGGGAUUGAGAAGCAUUACGAAAUUAUUACAUACAAUCAUCUCCCCUCAAAGGGAGCUUAUUGUAUGUCAUAAUUUUGAAGUGGAAUGUUUGGUGACUAGUGAGUUUUCAUGGUCUAGGGAUUCAUUCUAUCAAAAUGGAUGAACUUCCAAAAACUAAUGAUACCUUGCUAAGUUGAUUCCACUGAAUACUAGAGAGAUAUCUUAUGUAGGCCC
RNAcentral lists this long non-coding RNA (243 nucleotides) under Elaeis guineensis (African oil palm). Its description in RNAcentral is "long non-coding RNA (EGUI_LNC004944)". Lineage: Eukaryota; Viridiplantae; Streptophyta; Magnoliopsida; Arecales; Arecaceae. The record is from RNAcentral.